UACAUGGGGUGCAAACGUUGCUCGGAAUUAUUGGGCGUAAAGCGCGCGUAGGCGGUUACUUAAGUCGGAUGUGAAAGCCCUCGGCUUAACUGAGGAAGUGCACCCGAAACUGAGUAGCUGGAGUACGAAAGAGGGUCGCGGAAUUCCCGGUGUAGAGGUGGAAUUCGUAGAUAUCGGGAGGAACACCGGUGGCGAAGGCGGCGACCUGGGUCGAGACUGACGCUGAGGCGCGAAAGCGUGGGGAGCAAACAGG
RNAcentral lists this ribosomal RNA (253 nucleotides) under uncultured bacterium. RNAcentral describes it as "partial 16S ribosomal RNA". It matches the Rfam family "Bacterial small subunit ribosomal RNA", at positions 524 to 776 of the family's 1533-position model. The record is from RNAcentral.